RNAcentral lists this ribosomal RNA (2889 nucleotides) under Vibrio parahaemolyticus. RNAcentral's name for it is "LSU rRNA". It matches the Rfam family "Bacterial large subunit ribosomal RNA". The record is from RNAcentral. Lineage: Bacteria; Pseudomonadati; Pseudomonadota; Gammaproteobacteria; Vibrionales; Vibrionaceae.
GGUUAAGUGACUAAGCGUACACGGUGGAUGCCUUGGCAGUCAGAGGCGAUGAAAGACGUAGUAACUUGCGAUAAGCCCAGAUUAGGUAGUAACAACCAUUUGAGUCUGGGAUUUCUGAAUGGGGAAACCCACGUGCAUAAGCACGUAUCCUUACCUGAAUACAUAGGGUAAGGAGGCGAACCGGGGGAACUGAAACAUCUAAGUACCCCGAGGAAAAGAAAUCAACCGAGAUUCCGAAAGUAGCGGCGAGCGAAAUUGGACUAGCCCUUAAGCUUUACACGCGUUAGACGAACGGUCUGGAAAGUCCGACGAUACAGGGUGAUAGUCCCGUAGUUGACGACGUGUGUUCAGUGAAAUCGAGUAGGGCGGGACACGUGAUAUCCUGUCUGAAUAUGGGGGGACCAUCCUCCAAGGCUAAAUACUACUGACUGACCGAUAGUGAACCAGUACCGUGAGGGAAAGGCGAAAAGAACCCCUGUGAGGGGAGUGAAAUAGAACCUGAAACCGUGUACGUACAAGCAGUAGGAGCACCUUCGUGGUGUGACUGCGUACCUUUUGUAUAAUGGGUCAGCGACUUAUAUUCAGUGGCAAGGUUAACCAUCUAGGGGAGCCGUAGGGAAACCGAGUCUUAACUGGGCGUUCAGUCUCUGGAUAUAGACCCGAAACCAGGUGAUCUAGCCAUGGGCAGGUUGAAGGUUGAGUAACAUCAACUGGAGGACCGAACCGACUAAUGUUGAAAAAUUAGCGGAUGACUUGUGGCUAGGGGUGAAAGGCCAAUCAAACCUGGAGAUAGCUGGUUCUCCCCGAAAGCUAUUUAGGUAGCGCCUCGGACGAAUACUACUGGGGGUAGAGCACUGUUAAGGCUAGGGGGUCAUCCCGACUUACCAACCCUUUGCAAACUCCGAAUACCAGUAAGUACUAUCCGGGAGACACACGGCGGGUGCUAACGUCCGUCGUGGAGAGGGAAACAACCCAGACCGCCAGCUAAGGUCCCAAAUUACUACUAAGUGGGAAACGAUGUGGGAAGGCUCAGACAGCCAGGAUGUUGGCUUAGAAGCAGCCAUCAUUUAAAGAAAGCGUAAUAGCUCACUGGUCGAGUCGGCCUGCGCGGAAGAUGUAACGGGGCUAAGUAGUAAACCGAAGCUGCGGCAAUACUCUUUGAGUAUUGGGUAGGGGAGCGUUCUGUAAGCGGUUGAAGGUGUGUGGUAACGCAUGCUGGACGUAUCAGAAGUGCGAAUGCUGACAUGAGUAACGAUAAAGGGGGUGAAAAACCUCCUCGCCGGAAGACCAAGGGUUCCUGUCCAACGUUAAUCGGGGCAGGGUAAGUCGACCCCUAAGGCGAGGCCGAAAGGCGUAGUCGAUGGGAAACGGGUUAAUAUUCCCGUACUUCUUACAAUUGCGAUGGGGGGACGGAGAAGGCUAGGUGGGCCUGGCGACGGUUGUCCAGGUUCAAGUGCGUAGGCUUAAGAGUUAGGUAAAUCCGGCUCUUUUUAAGGCUGAGACACGACGUCGAGCACCUACGGGUGUGAAGUCAUUGAUGCCAUGCUUCCAGGAAAAGCCUCUAAGCUUCAGAUUGUAAGGAAUCGUACCCCAAACCGACACAGGUGGUCGGGUAGAGAAUACCAAGGCGCUUGAGAGAACUCGGGUGAAGGAACUAGGCAAAAUGGUACCGUAACUUCGGGAGAAGGUACGCUCUUGAUGGUGAAGUCCCUUGCGGAUGGAGCUGACGAGAGUCGCAGAUACCAGGUGGCUGCAACUGUUUAUUAAAAACACAGCACUGUGCAAAAUCGUAAGAUGACGUAUACGGUGUGACGCCUGCCCGGUGCCGGAAGGUUAAUUGAUGGGGUUAGACUUCGGUCGAAGCUCUUGAUCGAAGCCCCGGUAAACGGCGGCCGUAACUAUAACGGUCCUAAGGUAGCGAAAUUCCUUGUCGGGUAAGUUCCGACCUGCACGAAUGGCGUAAUGAUGGCCACGCUGUCUCCACCCGAGACUCAGUGAAAUUGAAAUCGCUGUGAAGAUGCAGUGUACCCGCGGCUAGACGGAAAGACCCCGUGAACCUUUACUACAGCUUGGCACUGAACAUUGACCCUACAUGUGUAGGAUAGGUGGGAGGCUUUGAAGCACGUACGCCAGUAUGUGUGGAGCCGUCCUUGAAAUACCACCCUUGUAGUGUUGAUGUUCUAACGUCGACCCCUUAUCGGGGUUGCGGACAGUGCCUGGUGGGUAGUUUGACUGGGGCGGUCUCCUCCCAAAGAGUAACGGAGGAGCACGAAGGUGGGCUAAUCACGGUUGGACAUCGUGAGGUUAGUGCAAUGGCAUAAGCCCGCUUGACUGCGAGAAUGACAAUUCGAGCAGGUGCGAAAGCAGGUCAUAGUGAUCCGGUGGUUCUGAAUGGAAGGGCCAUCGCUCAACGGAUAAAAGGUACUCCGGGGAUAACAGGCUGAUACCGCCCAAGAGUUCAUAUCGACGGCGGUGUUUGGCACCUCGAUGUCGGCUCAUCACAUCCUGGGGCUGAAGUCGGUCCCAAGGGUAUGGCUGUUCGCCAUUUAAAGUGGUACGCGAGCUGGGUUUAGAACGUCGUGAGACAGUUCGGUCCCUAUCUGCCGUGGGCGUUGGAAGAUUGAAGGGGGCUGCUCCUAGUACGAGAGGACCGGAGUGGACGAACCUCUGGUGUUCGGGUUGUGUCGCCAGACGCAUUGCCCGGUAGCUAAGUUCGGAAUCGAUAACCGCUGAAAGCAUCUAAGCGGGAAGCGAGCCCUGAGAUGAGUCUUCCCUGAUACUUUAAGUAUCCUAAAGGGUUGUCGGAGACUACGACGUUGAUAGGUCAGGUGUGUAAGUGCUGUGAGGCAUUGAGCUAACUGAUACUAAUUGCCCGUGAGGCUUAACCAU